AAAUGAGAGUGAGAAUGAGAUGAAAGGGAGGAUGGGAGGGAGGAGUAACAAAAGUGAAAACAAAAACUUGAAAAUGAAAACAAUUUCAAAUAGAUUUCAGUUUUUAGUUCUUGUUUUCACAUUUAUAACUCCUCGCUCCCAUCCUCCCCUCUCAUCUUCACUCUCAUUCU
RNAcentral lists this microRNA precursor (170 nucleotides) under Prunus dulcis (almond). RNAcentral describes it as "sRNA ncRNA". The record is from RNAcentral. Lineage: Eukaryota; Viridiplantae; Streptophyta; Magnoliopsida; Rosales; Rosaceae.